Molecule: ribosomal RNA, 322 nt
Filed under: Pestalotiopsis sp.
Lineage: Eukaryota; Fungi; Ascomycota; Sordariomycetes; Amphisphaeriales; Sporocadaceae
Description: partial large subunit ribosomal RNA
Rfam family: Eukaryotic large subunit ribosomal RNA
Source: RNAcentral
AGACCGAUAGCGAACAAGUAGAGUGAUCGAAAGAUGAAAAGCACUUUGAAAAGAGGGUUAAAUAGCACGUGAAAUUGUUGAAAGGGAAGGAUUUGUGACCAGACUUUUUCUGGGCGGAUCAUCCGGGGUUCUCUCCGGUGCACUUCGCCCAGUAAAGGCCAGCAUCGGUUUUCGGCGUGGGAUAAAAGCAGUAGGAAUGUGGCUCUCUACGGGGAGUGUUAUAGCCUAUUGUAUAAUACCGCGCUGGGGACCGAGGUUCGCGCUUCUGCAAGGAUGCUGGCGUAAUGAAGUAUCAAUCACCCGUCUUGAAACACGGACCAAG